UACGGAGGAUGCGAGCGUUAUCCGGAUUUAUUGGGUUUAAAGGGUGCGUAGGCGGUCCGUUAAGUCAGCGGUAAAAUUGCGGGGCUCAACCCCGUCGAGCCGUUGAAACUGGCAGACUUGAGUUGGCGAGAAGUACGCGGAAUGCGCGGUGUAGCGGUGAAAUGCAUAGAUAUCGCGCAGAACUCCGAUUGCGAAGGCAGCUUACAAAUCUAUAUCGGACGCUGAGGCACGAAAGCGUGGGGAGCAAACAGG
Molecule: ribosomal RNA, 252 nt
Filed under: uncultured Bacteroidales bacterium
Lineage: Bacteria; Pseudomonadati; Bacteroidota; Bacteroidia; Bacteroidales
Description: partial 16S ribosomal RNA
Rfam family: Bacterial small subunit ribosomal RNA
Source: RNAcentral